GCGAGGUUAAUUACAAACAAAGACCACCUCAAUCUUGGCUCCCCCUUUCCUCUUUUCGUUUCAAGUUCCAUCUUGUAAAUAUAGAAGACACUUAGUGCACUUAGUUUCGAGGAGGAAAACACGAGCUGAUGACACGGCAUCAGAUUGCUGUCUUGAGAGUAAGGUUCACAGCAAUGUUAAAAAGACGAAACGAAAGUAAGAAGAACAGAAAAUAAUGUUGAUAAAAAUAAAAGAAACAAGUCAGACAAAGAACAAAGAGUAAACAAGACAGAAAAGAAUGAAAAAAUGAAGUAAAGAAAGAGUGGACAGCAGAACAGACGAACGGAAAACUGAAAACAAGAUAUAUAGAAAGCUGGACCAUCUCUACAUCUUUGUAUCCCAUUCUUAGAGUAUGAUUGACUCUGAUCCGCGGUGUACAUCAUCUUAUCAUUUUUGUCUACAUGCCACACCUUGUGAAGAUGGUCUUUCAAUGACUUCAUGCCAUGUGGUUACACAGCUAUAACCAACCGGAUGUGGCUUUCAUCAGAAAGACAAUAAGCACAUGGAUGACGGCCCCACCCUACACUCGUGUAGUCGGUUUAAUUUUUAUUUAUUCUCUUUUUCAUAGCUACCCAUGAGUACUAGGAGUGGCCAGCCUAUCGAUCAUAAACAGGUACUCGGGGUGCUGAUAACAGCGUCCACACCUGCAUCGUUGCAUGAUGACAGCCAUCACGUGCAGAUGGUGGCUACGUUCUCCACCCUGGAGAGCCGCGGUCCUCCGGCUCUUGACUGCGACCCACCCCGACCACGGGUGUAGAAAACCGUUAGACAAUCGAUAGAGGGAGCAGGCGUUCCUGUUUGAACACAUCAACCGUUGACUGUUUUUUCCUCCUCCACGGGGCGUGCUUAUCAGAGAUUUAUCAAAGAUCGAACGACAAUGGCUGUUAUCAAAUAUUGCACAUGGCCACGACAUGUUUGUAAAAGAACUGAACUAUAACGGUGGUAGAAAAUGGCGUCAAGGGUUAGACAGAACAUAUUUGUCUUCAUAAAAUACGAUUCGAGUCUAUUUUUUUCCCAGUAAGCGAGAAUGUACCCGCAAAAAACGUUUAGCUAAUCGUCUCGACCGUUGAUUAGUAUGUUUACCCCUUUGUUUUGUGCAGGUACUGGUGGAAAUUUAAUGUUACUAUGACUUUGAUUCUUGUGGGUUUUUUUUAGAUCUUUAAUUAAUACAUUGAACUUAUUGUCAAACACAACAUGUUUCAUUUCGUUAUUGUACGCUGACGUGGAAGUAAAGAAAGACAGAAAAAUUUUGAUAAUACAUCAAUGAAAAUCUUGAUAAUUAGGAGGAAAAAGAAAACAACAAUGAAAGGCAAAUGUUGCCAUGAGAACCAACCGGCAUCAACAAGAAGAACAGCAACAACGACGAUAUCAUUGCCAGAGCGAUGUCACCAGAUCGUUGCGAUUUGAAUGUUCUAGAACAUUUCACACGAAGAUACAGUUGCCGACUGACGUCACCUCAGAGUAGUGGUCCCUUGUUGUCCAUCGUAACGACCUUUGUUUGUCUUUGUCAAGUGAACUCAACCGAACCUUCUAGGAUGCUGAGGGUGAGUCACUUUUUUUUUAAAGUCAGUCUUAUGUUUGGCAAAUGGGGAUGUGAAGAUUCAUAUCCUCAUCUCCGCUGUUGUGUCAACAUUAGGGAUGCGAAAGUCAGGCCGUAGUUUACAUCAACAAUCGAAUCUUCUGAAAAGGGUGUUGUUCCUAAAGGCUGGGUGCAAUCAAUACCCGUUCACGAGCUGUAGCCCUCUAUCUUGUUUAUAUGUUCGCGUGUUCUCACUUCAGAGAGAGUGGUUGGCUGCUGACCUUACCGUGACCUGUACUCGCCAGGGUUUUCGUGUUCACACUACCCGACUGGACCUGAGACAUGAUAUCACACAGUGUUGUUCACGAGAGUCUUGUUCUUACAAUUACACAAUAUUUUAUGAUCUUUCGAUUUUUUUUCUUGGACGGUUGAGGACUUUAAAAAUAAGAAUAUCCAAUACACUCCAAGAUCUUUUGGAUGGAUGGACGCUUGGUGGUCGAUAAAGUGAUUAAUUUAACUAGUUAUUGACCGAUUGGUGGAGAGAUAGAGAGAAUGGGAGAGGGAAAAAGUUAAAUAUAAUUCCACUUUUUCGUAUGACCUUCAACAUGUGGAGUAUUGUACUUGUGAAUGAGUCUCUGGUCUGCUGUAUGUCUCUGGACGACCCUGUCGUCUGCAAGUGAAGGGUAUACCCGUGUCAGUACGGGUGGUAAGGAAGAGAAGCGUUGGAGCACUCUCUUAUCUCGUUGCCAGCUUUUGUGAGGGCGUUGUUCAUCGACUUCCACUCUCUACCUUACAACUCAGCCCUCUAGGGCUUUGCAUUUGCAAAUAUUUAAAAACCACCUUGUUGCUAUGUAUCAUGGACAGCUUUUCCUGUGUGCUGUGUCCUUGUUACCUGACAUUAUACAACCCACCCUGUUCGUGACAUGUGAGAAGAUCACUGCAUAUCCAUUCACGAUGCCAGGUAAACUCAAUCACGUGAUUACGCUACCUUGAUUACUCGGUUUAGUUUUAAUGCUACAAUAAACGCGAGGUAAAUCUUCUAGGACACAGUUUAUCACGGAAUUAUCUACUCGGAUUUUCUUUGUACUCAAUACAGCAUUGAGUCAGAACUAUACACUUUUCAUUUUUCAGGCACCCGUUCUUAAAUUUCUUUUUAAAACAAAAAUUUAGAGUGCGCAUGCGCACAAAGGUGCAAAAGCAAGCUGCACACCUUUUUUGACACUCCAUAGGCUGGAUGAAACCUGACUACACAAGGGUUCGACCGUUGUCACAAUCCAAACACCUGAGGUUGUAUAUCUUAUUGUUCUGUAGAACACUAGGCUAUUGUACAAACUGUAGUGGCCAGGAGGCAAUCACACCGGUGUCGCAGGGGGAGCAGGGGAAAUUUCACUGUUUGCUCGCUGAUGGUCGCCCUGUUUACCUGUCGUGACAAAGUCACCUCCAAUCUCUCCGUUGAAAUUGUAUUUUUACGAUGCUACCACACCGCAUGUUGGACAAUUUUCCCAGAAAGCAUUCUGUUCGACCAAUGGCCGAUGCAUGCGUUUUACUGCACCGAAGGCAAACAAAUUAUUUCCAAGGCUUCUUUUAUUUCUUGUAAUGUUUACUAACUUUAUAGCACACUUCACACAUGCAUGAAACCUCACUAUAAUGUUCUCAUAAUACCAAAUAGGAAAAAAAUCUAUCGCACCUGAAAUAUUUUUUUGGAGGGUGAUGGGGAGAGUCACACGGUCCCUGAUGAGUCAGGUUCAGUUGUUACUUGGUUAUGUUGUUCACAUUGCUGCCAGGAAGCUAGACUUGGUUUUAUAGGUAAAUAAACUGUCUCGUGCCAAGAGGAAAGACAGAGUGCCACAGUGUGAGUGACAUGUGUUAACUGUUAUCUCCCAAUGAUUUAAGUGCAAGAAAUGACUUCCUGGUUUCCAUGUGUGCGCCGUGCGGUUCCCAGUUUUACCUGCUGUCGUGUUAUCCCGCGAAGUUAUUUCUGAAAAAUGUCUAUCAAAAGUUGAACUCGCAAAGAAAAAGGUUCAUAUAUUUGUAUAACCCCUCCGACAAGGAAGUGAGACAUUUUGCCUGCACUUUAGCACAACCAAGGAAGUAUAAAACUGUUGGUAAUACUUGCGUUUCUCCCUACCACCCGAGGCGUGCUCAAGGUGCUUUACACACACAGAGACUGUCAUCACCGUGAGAGAGAGAGAGGAUUUUGUCCCCUCCUCAGACUGUACACACUGUCCUGAGAAUGCUCGUCAUCCAGUACACAGAGCCAGCCCCGAGCCUGUAAACACUAAACAUUUACAGUUUCCCUGAAUGUCUUUCUUUGUCAGCGAGGCGCGAACAAACGCAAGGAAGCAUUGGCUGCAUGUGAGUGCACAGGUGCACAGGUGUAAAACACAGUCAGCGGUGCACGGAGGGACUCGGCGUCUGGAGGUAGGAGGGAGGGUCUUCACUACACGAUAUCUCGAAAGCUUUCUGUAAUAAAUGUUGUCGCACAGCAGCAGUUGCUGCCUCAUCUACAGGUGUGAUGUUUGUUCUCUCUUGUUACCUUUGGGAACUUCAGCACUUGAGAAACUGUCAUUGCUAUAACACCUGCUGGUUCGACUACUACUACUCCUACUCUUACUGCUACGGGUACAAUGAGGACGACAAUCACAUGUCAAAGAAUGAAGGUGAGAAUUAAUUCCAUUCCUCGGAAACGCAAGACGAGAGGAAGACACUUUCGUUUUCGUCAACAAUUCUUUUGAAAUACAUUCUCCCUCCGGCCUUUUAAUCGCCCUGCUUUUAUGAACGGUUUUGUCCGCGCCUUCCAUUCAGGCAAGGAGGGACACCAGGAGGCCAGGGUCAAAGUGUCUCCGUUCACAGACUACAAACAUGUCUGUUUUAUGUGAUAGGGAGUGGCCAGACAAACCUCUCCAUUUUUUAACAAAAGCGCCACAGGUAAUUGAUGACCACGUGGUACUCGACUAAGAUAGUCUUUAAAAUAUUUUCGGCCUUUUCUAACCACUCUUACUGCUGAAACUUAAUCUCACAGUUUCUAAAUAAAUUAAUCAAUCAUUGCAUCCAUUAUACAUCCUUUAAAGAGAUACACCUUUACCGAAGCAUUAACUGUUGUAUCAGAGAAUCUUUAAAUAUCCCGCUUUAGAAAGCGGUGCGGCAGGUAAACUGCCUUCGUCAAAAUUCUAAAGUAAACAACUUUUAAAAAGAUUUGAA
Molecule: long non-coding RNA, 4759 nt
Organism: Pomacea canaliculata
Lineage: Eukaryota; Metazoa; Mollusca; Gastropoda; Architaenioglossa; Ampullariidae
Exons: 3
Source: RefSeq, a predicted model, not a curated record